Molecule: ribosomal RNA, 393 nt
Filed under: uncultured bacterium
Lineage: Bacteria
Description: partial 16S ribosomal RNA
Rfam family: Bacterial small subunit ribosomal RNA
Source: RNAcentral
AUACGGAGGAUCCAAGCGUUAUACGGAUUUAUUGGGUUUAAAGGGUGCGUAGGCGGACUGGUAAGUCAGCUGUGAAAGUUUGAGGCUUAACCGUAAAAUUGCAGUUGAUACUGUCAGUCUUGAGUGUGCAUGAGGUGGGCGGAAUUUGUGGUGUAGCGGUGAAAUGCUUAGAUAUCACGAGGAACUCCAAUUGCGAAGGCAGCUCACUGGGGCAUAACUGACGCUGAUGCACGAAGGUGUGGGUAUCAAACAGGAUUAGAUACCCUGGUAGUCCACACAGUAAACUAUGAAUACUCGCUGUUUGCGAUAUACAGUAAGCGGCCAAGCGAAAGCAUUAAGUAUUCCACCUGGGGAGUACGCCGGCAACGGUGAAACUCAAAUGAAUUGGCGGGG